UACGGAGGAUGCGAGCGUUAUCCGGAUUUAUUGGGUUUAAAGGGUGCGUAGGCGGAAUAUCAAGUCAGCGGUAAAAAUUCGGGGCUCAACCCCGUCGUGCCGUUGAAACUGAUGUUCUUGAGUGGGCGAGAAGUAUGCGGAAUGCGCGGUGUAGCAGUGAGAUGCGUAGAUAUCGGGAGGAACACUCGUGGCGAAGGCGGGUUCCUGGACAUUAACUGACGCUGAGGCACGAAGGCCAGGGGAGCGAAAGGG
Molecule: ribosomal RNA, 252 nt
Filed under: uncultured bacterium
Lineage: Bacteria
Description: partial 16S ribosomal RNA
Rfam family: Bacterial small subunit ribosomal RNA
Source: RNAcentral